This 74-nucleotide transfer RNA is filed under the name Alligator mississippiensis (American alligator). It matches the Rfam family "tRNA". Rfam says of the family: Transfer RNA (tRNA) molecules are approximately 80 nucleotides in length. The record is from Rfam by way of RNAcentral. Lineage: Eukaryota; Metazoa; Chordata; Crocodylia; Alligatoridae.
GGUGCCAUGGCUUAGCUGGUUAAAGUGCCUACCUAGAAAACAUGAGAUCUUGGGUUCAAAUCCCAGUGGUACCU